This 207-nucleotide ribosomal RNA is filed under the name uncultured bacterium. RNAcentral's name for it is "partial 16S ribosomal RNA". It matches the Rfam family "Bacterial small subunit ribosomal RNA", at positions 568 to 774 of the family's 1533-position model. The record is from RNAcentral.
UGCGUAGGCGGCGUUGUAAGUCAGAAGUGAAAGCUUUCAGCUUAACUGGAAAAUUGCUUUUGAUACUGCAGCACUUGAAUCAGGUUGAGGUCGGCGGAAUGUGACAUGUAGCGGUGAAAUGCAUAGAUAUGUCAUAGAACACCAAUUGCGAAGGCAGCUGACUGGGCCUGUAUUGACGCUGAGGCACGAAAGCGUGGGGAGCGAACA